GACGAACGCUGGCGGCGUGCUUAACACAUGCAAGUCGAACGGUGAAGCGCCUUCCUUUUUGGUGGGUGUGGAUGAGUGGCGAACGGGUGAGUAACACGUGAUUAACCUGCCCCCUUCUUCUGGAUAACCGCAUGAAAGUGUGGCUAAUACGGGAUAUUCUGGGUCUGUCGCAUGAUGGGUCUGGGAAAGAUAUUGUUUCGGUGGGGGAUGGGCUCGCGGCCUAUCAGCUUGUUGGUGGGGUGAUGGCCUACCAAGGCGGUGACGGGUAGCCGGCCUGAGAGGGUGGACGGUCACACUGGGACUGAGACACGGCCCAGACUCCUACGGGAGGCAGCAGUGGGGAAUAUUGCACAAUGGGCGCAAGCCUGAUGCAGCGACGCCGCGUGAGGGAUGGAGGCCUUCGGGUUGUGAACCUCUUUCGCCAGUGAAGCAGGCCUGCCUCGUUUGGGGGUGGGUUGACGGUGGCUGGAUAAGAAGCGCCGGCUAACUACGUGC
Molecule: ribosomal RNA, 495 nt
Filed under: uncultured bacterium
Lineage: Bacteria
Description: partial 16S ribosomal RNA
Rfam family: Bacterial small subunit ribosomal RNA
Source: RNAcentral